GGUCGUGACUGACACAUUAUGACCAGUCUUGGAACUAGGGUUGGGAGGGGGGUUCGUCCCACCCAGACCACAGGGACUGAAAAUCAGGAAGGGGUGAGGCCUAAGGGACAAUUAGGAUGUUUUUCAGAGAGAAGUGUGGAUGCUGGACAGGAAGAACCACAGAUGCCAGAUACGGGUACUGUUGUAACUCUGUUCUCCAUAAAAUUUCCUCUUUACAGGUUUUAUUCCACAGACAUUUCCUGAAACAUUACUAAUUAAAACAAUGAUGAGGCCUGCUUUGGGUACUUAACAGGACUGUCUACUAGGGGACACAAGAGAAGGACAUGACAGAGCCUGUGACUUUUACCAGCCAUCAGUUCAAAGGGAAACGUGCACACAGCCUGCAGCUGGUUAAAGGAUCAAAAGGAAAUACUUCAUCUGAGCACAGCCUCUGGAGCCUGAGUUCAAAUCCUAACUCAACCCUUGUUAGUUUUGUGCCAGUGGGCAAACUUCUUAACCUCAUAUGACUUAGUAGAUGCAAAGUACUUAACUCAUGCUUCAUGUAUAGUUAGCAAUUAAUAGUUAAGAUUAACUUCA
Molecule: long non-coding RNA, 576 nt
Organism: Symphalangus syndactylus (siamang)
Lineage: Eukaryota; Metazoa; Chordata; Mammalia; Primates; Hylobatidae
Source: RefSeq, a predicted model, not a curated record